GGAAUCCCCGCAGGCGCUGGGUCUGCAGAUGGCGUCCAGGUACACAGUGGCGAGUGUGAUUCCGCAGUCUUGGGCUGUUUGGCCAAGCGCCCGCCGGACAUGGUACGCCGAAGGGUCAUCGGCGUGGAGUCCUCGCUUUCAGCGUCCGCGGCUGGGAAAUCGGCCAUCGCUACGGCGGGAACUGGGACUCGGGCUGCGUCCCGGCCCUUCCACAUCGGUCCACCGCACUCGUGGGCGCCCGCAUUGGUGCUGACAUAAUUUCCUGACCUCUGACCCGUAUUGUCUCGCGAUUAAAGAGCUGCGCCUGGAUCCCUCAGCAGUGAGGAGACCUGAAGACCAGAGGAAACACAGCAAGUCCAGGCACUCCCACUCCUCCUGAGAGAAAUCUACAGCCACAUCCCUGAACAUCAUCAACUGUUGGAAAGAAUAAUUCCAAGUAUUAAUGGGGCUCACCAGAGAAGACAGGGCAAGGUGAGGGGGAUCUCCUAGCAGAGGAAACAACAUGCGCCAAUCAAGCAAAGAUAUUUUUGUGCAUUCAAGGAACACAGAGAGGAAAGACAGUGGCAGAUGGAGACGUAUAAAGCAGGGAUCCUGUUAUGAAAAGCCCUAAAAAAUAGGGUAUAGAGUUUGGGCCAUAUUUCAGAGGUAAUAAGAAAGCAUUCUGCAUUUUUAAAGUAAGGUUUAAAAAUGUUUCUAAUUAGAGAUACAGCAAAGUUGGUGUGAGAGGAUAAAGACUGAUAUACAUAAUCUGAGGAGUUCAUGAAAAUUCCAUGUAAAGCCUGUAGUAUGAAUUGGUCCUAGGAGACAGACAGCUUCAGGGGCAUAGAGAACUUUAAGCACUUUUCCAAGAAGAGUGAAGGGCUGGAGAAUAAAUUGUGAACUAAAAUAUAUUUUGUGUUUGAGAACAUGAAGUACUUGAGAGUGAUUAUUACACGGUUUUAAGAAAAAACUAGUUCUUUUAAAUAAAACUUUUUUUUAGCUGAGCACAGUGGCUCACGCCUGUAAUCCCAGCACUUUGGGAGGCCGAGGCAGGCGGAUCACCUGAGGUCGGGAGUUCGAGAUCAGCCUGAC
This 1071-nucleotide long non-coding RNA is filed under the name Homo sapiens (human). RNAcentral describes it as "HSALNT0259302". The record is from RNAcentral. Lineage: Eukaryota; Metazoa; Chordata; Mammalia; Primates; Hominidae.